UGGCAUGUGAAGCUCGUCGAGCCUUAGUGUAAUAUCAAUUUUUAUUAAUAUUUAAUAAUAUUUACCACUUAUUUAAAGUUGUCUAGUAGACGAGCCGAGUUGAUUUAAACUUGUUUAUGAGCCGAGCCCGAACCUAAAAAGAAGCUUGUUUAGUAAACGAGCCUGAACCCAGCUUCACUUAUCGAGCUUGCGAGCCUAAACAAGUCUAUUAUUUUAUUUAAUAUAUAUUAUUUACUAGAUAAUAAACGAGCCGAGCUCGAGCUCUCAUAAGUUAAUCGAGCUCGAGCCUGGUCGAACUCGGGCUCGGCUCGUUUGAACCCCUACUCAUAAGUGCAUAAAAGUAAUAGAAUCAUAAUGCUUUUACAAUCUAUUGAAAUAAUAAUCAAAAGAAUCCGAAAAAGUCCACAAUUAGAGUUGACUUUAUUGAUAACAGGUCAAAUGGAGUAAAUUUCCGUUUUGCUCCCUGUGGUUUGGUCACUUUAACAUUUUUGCUCCAAACCUUUAAAAAUAGCCAUUUUACUCCCUGAUAUUUCGGUUUUUUUGCCAGUUUGCUCCCCGCCUCUAACUCCAUCCAAAUUGUUUGUUUUUCCAUUUUGCUCCCUGCAGGGAGCAAACUGGCAACAAAACCAAAACAUCAGGGAGUAAAAUGGCUAUUUUUAAAGGUUUGGGGCAAAACCGUUAAAGUGAACAAACCACAGGGAGCAAAACGGAAGUUUACUCUUUAAAUUAUUGUAUAAUAUUUUAGAUUACUGAAUUUUGAGAGCCAUGUAUUAAUUUUUCUUUUCAAAAUCGAGCCAAACCAAGCCGAGCCAGCUCGGUUUAAAACCAAGCCGAGCCCGAGCUUAGAUUUCCAGCUCGGUUUUAAAUCCGAGCCGAGCCGAGCCAGCUCGGUUUAUAAUCGAGCCAAGCCCGAGUUUUACACUAGCUCGGCUCGUGAACAGCCCUACUUAUCAAGUCCUAAACCGUGUUUGAAUAUUGUUUUCAUUUGUUGUAAGAAUACUUACCUUGAGUAGUUCAGAUGAACGAAAACCACCGAUCCAUAGAAAACACCGUUCGGCAGGUGACGUCCACAUUCCAUAAAUAAUAUGGAAAACAUCAGCUUUUGCUGCAAUUUUUU
This 1117-nucleotide long non-coding RNA is filed under the name Helianthus annuus (common sunflower). RNAcentral describes it as "sRNA HanXRQr2_Chr13g0568181". The record is from RNAcentral. Lineage: Eukaryota; Viridiplantae; Streptophyta; Magnoliopsida; Asterales; Asteraceae.